RNAcentral lists this non-coding RNA (26 nucleotides) under Homo sapiens (human). Lineage: Eukaryota; Metazoa; Chordata; Mammalia; Primates; Hominidae. The record is from RNAcentral.
GGAAACAGAGCUGUGCCCAAUUCCAC